RNA transcript from Homo sapiens (human), 5471 nucleotides. It is a transcript of the gene named golgin A6 family like 5, pseudogene, with no coding region annotated. The record is from RefSeq and is marked validated. Lineage: Eukaryota; Metazoa; Chordata; Mammalia; Primates; Hominidae. The transcript is spliced from 10 exons.
AGUUGCACAGCUGCCUGGUAGGUGACUGGAGGCAUUGAGCAGUGCUCACUGGUAUUUCGCUGAUGUGGCCCCAACCCCGCCUCCCUCCCCACCCCGCGAUGUCAGAAAAAACACAACAGGGGAAAUUGGCCGCAGCCAAGAAAAAGUUAAAAGCAUAUUGGCAGAGGAAGAGCCCUGGCAUUCCAGCAGGAGCUAACAGGAAAAAGAAAAUCAAUGGCAGUAGCCCUGACACAGCCACUUCUGGUGGUUACCACUCACCUGGGGAUUCAGCAACAGGUAUCUACGGGGAGGGCCGUGCAUCCUCUACUACCCUGGAGGAUCUGGAGAGCCAGUACCAAGAACUAGCAGUGGCCCUGGAUUCAAGCUCCGCAAUAAUCAGUCAACUCACUGAAAACAUCAAUUCACUGGUUCGCACAUCUAAGGAGGAGAAGAAGCAUGAGAUACAUCUGGUACAGAAGCUUGGGAGGAGCUUGUUCAAACUCAAAAACCAGACGGCUGAACCCCUGGCCCCAGAGCCCCCAGCAGGGCCAUCUAAGGUAGAGCAGCUACAAGAUGAGACCAACCACCUAAGGAAGGAGCUAGAGAGUGUGGGAAGACAGCUCCAGGCUGAGGUGGAAAACAAUCAGAUGUUGAGUCUCCUGAACAGGAGACAGGAGGAGAGGCUACGUGAACAGGAGGAGAGGCUACGUGAACAGGAGGAGAGGCAACGUGAACAGGAGGAUAGGCUACAUGAACAGGAGGAGAGGCUACGUGAACAGGAGGAGAGGCUGUGUGAACAGGAGGAGAGGCUGUGUGAACAGGAGGAGAGGCUACGUGAACAUGAGGAGAGGCUGUGUGAACAGGAGGAGAGGCUAUGUGAACAGGAGGAGAGGCUACGUGAACAGGAGGAGAGGCUACAUGAACAGGAGGAGAGGCUACGUGAACAGGAGGAGAGGCUGUGUGAACAGGAGGAGAGGCUACGUGAACAUGAGGAGAGGCUGUGUGAACAGGAGGAGAGGCUACGUGAACAGGAGGAGAGGCUGUGUGAACAGGAGGAGAGGCUACGUGAACAGGAGGAGAGGCUGUGUGAACAGGAGGAGAGGCUACGUGAACAGGAGGAGAGGCUGUGUGAACAGGAGAAGCUGCCAGGGCAGGAGAGGCUGCUGGAAGAGGUGGAGAAGCUGUUAGAACAGGAGAGGCGGCAGGAGGAGCAGGAGAGGCUGCUGGAGAGGGAGAGGCUGCUGGAAGAGGUGGAGGAGCUCCUGGAGCAGGAGAGGCUUCGGCAACAGGAUGAGAGGCUGUGGCAGCAGUAGACUCUGCAGGAGCUGGAGAGGCUGCGGGAGCUGGAGAGGCUGCGGGAGCUGGAGAGGAUGCUGGAGCUGGGGUGGGAAGCCCUGUACGAGCAGCGGGCCGAGCCACGCAGCGGCUUCGAGGAGCUGAACAACGAGAACAAGAGCACACUGCAGUUGGAGCAGCAAGUAAAGGAGCUGAAGAAGUCGGGUGGAGCUGAAGAGCCAAGAGGCUCCGAGUCUGCAGCAGCAGCCAGACCAGUAGCUGGAGCCCCAGUCCCACAAGGAGCUUGGAUGUGCGGACAAGCAGGGUGGACUCCCCAGGAGCACCCAGGCUUGAGUGGAGAAGCUGUUGGUACAGGAGAGGCGGCAGGAGGAGCAGGAGAGGCUGCAUGCCAUUCUUUUCGGGCUGCGGAGAACAGGGAGCUAAACAUCACCAUCAUCUAAGAGCGGGUCAAGGAAUUGAAAAAAAAAAAACAAAACAUUUAAGGGGUUAAUAUCCUACACAAUUCAUUUACUUCAUUUGAAUGUUAGAGCCACUUAUGUUUAUUUGUGUUUCUAAUUUAUAGUUUAAAUUUAUUUGUGUUUCUAAUUUAUAGUUUAAAUUUAUUUGUGUUUCUAAUUUAUAGUUUAAAUUUAUUUGUGUUUCUAAUUUAUAGUUUAAAUUUAUUUGUGUUUCUAAUUUAUAAUUUAAAUUUAUUUGUAAAAAGUUAAAUGAGAGUGGGUGUUUCUCUCAUGUUCACUCUGGCAUCUUUUAGCAUUUUUUUAAUUUGAUAAUUAUAGGACGUUAGCAUGCAUAUCGAGUUUGCCCUUAUGUGGUGGGAGUUCAAACACACAAAGACCCACUGUAUGCACACAACUGUUCUUGCUGGUUUGGGAUAGGCUGCCAUGCUUUUUUAAUGUUAGUACAGCCUGUAUAUUCAUUACGGAAUUCAGAUAAAAUUUCCUUAUGUUCUGCUGUUAUGUUUGAUCGAAUCCUAAUCACAGUGAGCUCUUCAUUAGCUCAAUAUGCAGUUUGCCCUCAAGUGCGCGGUCUAUUACUUUGUAAUAUGCCACUGUGAGUACUGACAUUUACAGUUGUUUAAAGGUGGAGCACUGGAAACAGCCUUUCCCCCUUUUUCUGUGUAUUGGGGAUGGGAGUAAUAACAUUUUGGGGAGGUUUUUAAAUCUCCCAGAAGAGGAAAGUGGCCUGCUUUGGCAGGUGUGUGCAGGAUAGAAUAUGUUUCAUUUGUUUCAGUGCCAAGAAUGAGUGCUGUACUACAGUAGUUCCCUUAGGAUUUGUAUGUGCUCUGGGCUCAUGAAGAUACUGCCUCAUGAGCUGUGGCAGUUGUACUCUUUUUUGAUGACCUGAAAAGGGAUUAUUUCUGAGGAAUGAAAGGCUCCCAUCAUGACUGUGGAUGUGGAAAACCUUUUCUAGCUGAGAGCAUUUAUAUCUACAAUACAUUUUAAAGUCAGAGUUCAUGUUCCCUGUUUUAAUCACAUGACUACAUGUCCCAGUACACAAAAGGGCACUGGUUGGCGUUCUCCUUAAUGUAUUUAGUAAAGAUCAGAAGAAAUCCUUUAAGAGUUUAAAUGCCCCUGGAACAGGCAUAUACAGGCUCUAGUCAAGAAUGAAUUCGAGUGAAGGAAAGCUGUGUGACACCUGGCAUUCCUCUGUGUUCAUGGAGCUUAUUUGAGGCUAGAAGAUGGAUUUUACCAUCUAGACCUCUCUGGCUAAUAGCUAGUCUUCAACCAUCUGACAUAGGAAUUUACUUCUUUUCCUUGAAUGGAGAACACUUUAAAAAUAAUAACAAACAUUAUUAUAAACUAAUAUAUGUGAGAGUACUUAGUUGAAACAAAAAGGAGUUUUAGUAGACAGUAUUAUACUACAUUUGAAAAUCAAGGAGCAGUUUAUGCAACGUAAAAUGUUUACAAACUGCAGCGCAAUCUACUGUUUGUGACUGUCAAAGUGUCAUGAGGAAAGUGUCUAUACAAUCACAGAGUUAUAUUUCCUCACAAAGUUCUUUACGAAGAGUGAAAUAUGUUUUUAUACCUCUCAGUUUCAGUUAGAGGCAUAUUUUGUGUAAUAUUUAUGGCUUAAAAUGGACUAAAGGUCCUGUUCUUGCCUUUUCUGAACUUGCCGCUUUUGCAUUCUUUGAGUUCAGUUUAAAGACACUUACUUUAACUCCAUUUUAAACCCUCGGGCUAGAAAUCGUACCACUGUUAAUUAGCCACGUUAUUUGGUCUAACAGUUUUUGUUUAUCAUUCUGAAACUGAGCUUAUCUAAUACAUUGAUAAAUUAUUUCAAAGGUAUUUUUAUAGUUCAAAUCGCUUCACUUUUACCCUGACACGUAUAAAUGAAUAGGAAUGACCUUCAGAUAGCGUUUAGCAACUGUAACCAAUCUGACAAUAAUGUGUUCAUCAGGUACCUGUGGAUUAAAUCACAUACUGGCAUAUUUAAGAUGAAUGUCAGUCUGAAAAAUAAAUAUACUAUAUUAAUUCAAAUACGACUCUGUGUAGGUAUUUUGUCAUAUGUUUAAGAAAAAGCUAAAGAGAAUGGAAAUCCUAUGACAAUAACUCAAGUCUUUCUUCAAAGUGCAUGCAGUCUUUUGCAGUACCUCAUUCAGCCAAGUAUUUGUUCUCUACCUCAUUCAGUAUAAGGCAGCCUUUAAUUUGCUUAGAAGGCAACAUUAGAAGGUUAGAGUUCAGCAGGAACAUAGAAUUUUAAAAUGUGACUUCAACUGAAUAAAUUUGAAUUUCUGUAGGGAGUAAAGAAUCAAAACACCUAUUUAAAGACUGCAAAAUAUGAUAAUUAUUUUUAAAGUAAUUGAUUAAACCUGGUAGGUUUUCCCAAAAUGAAAAACAAUCAGUUCUAAAACCAAAGCUGAUUUUUAGAAAAUGUGAAAAUGUAAAUCAACCCUAUCCAUAAUAGAUUCUCUAAAACUUUAUCUUACAGUCACUUUCAAAUAACUAUUCAAAAAUGUAACUGCUAUAUUAACGUCUUAAAAUAAUUUAAAACAUUUUAAAAUAUGAAUACUGUAGUUUAAAACAAAGAAUCUAGGGGAAGGAAAAGUAGACAAAGAAAUGCCAAUUCCAGUCCAAAGCUGUAUUUGCCAAGUUUUCUUAGAAUGACUUUUACCGAUUUAUGAAUUCUUAUACACAGAAUGCAUAAUGGAAAUACUGAUUUUUGUCUAAAGUGGCAUUAUUGACUGCUGCUGUGAUGCUACUGUAAUGUAAUACAUUAUUAAAUUGUUUCAAGGUGCUGUUUUGCCUAAAAAUUUUGUGUGUCUUGAAAACUAUAGUAUUGGGUAUUGAGACUCUGCAAAUUCUCGGCAUGCUUGGCAUGAGGUAAUCGGUUUUUAUUCUUACAAAAUUGUAACUAUGUAAGUGUGUUUAUUAAAAGAACACAAACUAAAAAAGUUAACAGGAAUUAAAGUUGUGGGAUGAAAAAGUUACAGGAUAAAAAAAUACUGUGGAAAAGUGGCAAAAAAAAGUUGUGGAAAAAAAGUAAAAAAAAAGUUUUAUGAAAAGUUAUUUUAAAAAGUUAUGAAAAAUUAGUUACAGGAUUUAAAAAAAGUCAUGGGAUAAAAAUAAAAAUAAAUAAAAGCAGGCCCCUGUCAGCAUAAGCCUGGAGAAGUGGGUCUGGAGUCUUCACCCCCACCAUGUCCCUACAACCCCUCCCCAGUCAGCCCUUUACCAUUAGGGUAGCAAGACAAGACCCUUGUCUAAUGGAGGGAGACAAACAGACCCUUUACCACCUUGACCAAGGCUGAGUCCUUACAUUUCUGGAUGAUGAUGUUUGUUAUUUAAGAGCCAGAGGUUGGUGGAGUUGGUUUGUUUGGAGGAGGUCUGACGGCCUUCUUACUCUCACCAAAGCAACUUUUCCCUCAGGGGGGCUCCCAUCUUCUUACUCAGAGAGGCAGCUGAGGCGGGACAGUGGAGUUAACUGUAGACCAGGCCAGGGCACAGGCUGCUGGGGGUGGCCCCCCUUCCCCCGUGUACAUACUGUAGCUGUGUAACAUUCUGUAUCGUACCUAGCGGAGGUUGCAGCUGGCAUAUGAGGAAGAGGUUCUUAUAAUUAUUCGCGGCUGGGAAACUUAUUUAUUGCUAGCAUAGGAGCGAGGAAGCAGGCGGGGAUGGGGUCAUGGCUGCCUGGUGAUGGGACUCCUGUUUUUUGUUUUUUGUUUUUUGCUUUUGAUUUUGGAAUAAAUGGAUUUAGCCAUA